RNAcentral lists this long non-coding RNA (276 nucleotides) under Homo sapiens (human). RNAcentral's name for it is "non-protein coding lnc-PEX10-4:1". Lineage: Eukaryota; Metazoa; Chordata; Mammalia; Primates; Hominidae. The record is from RNAcentral.
ACCACACCACAUCAUGUCACAUCAAGCAUGUCACGUGGUGCCGCACUUUCCUCUGCUGGGAGGAUGGGGCUCUGCUCCACAGGGGGUGGAAGGAAGGGGUGGUGGAGGGUCCUGCCCCUGCCAGAGGGGGGUGGCCCUGGGCAAUGGGGAGGGCAACGUGCUGCCUGAAGCUGGCCCCGGAAAGGUGCUUGUGCAUGGGCACAGAGGUGUGCACACACACACGGGGCUGCAGGGGCAGGAGGAGGAAGGAGCCCCAGCCCAGACUCAGCCCAGCCC